CGUAUCACCCAAGACAACUUUACGGAGUUGACGAUUGACGGAGCGAAGCGACGUCAAAGCGUUCAUUAAAGUCGAGUUGGCUUAGGGAUACGUUCGUUGGGUAGGGGAGCGUUCUGUAAGCCUGUGAAGGUGUGUCGUGAGGCAUGCUGGAGGUAUCAGAAGUGCGAAUGCUGACAUAAGUAACGAUAAAGCGGGUGAAAAGCCCGCUCGCCGGAAGACCAAGGGUUCCUGUCCAACGUUAAUCGGGGCAGGGUGAGUCGACCCCUAAGGCGAGGCCGAAAGGCGUAGUCGAUGGGAAACGGGUUAAUAUUCCCGUACUUGGUGUUACUGCGAAGGGGGGACGGAGAAGGCUAUGUUGGCCGGGCGACGGUUGUCCCGGUUUAAGCGUGUAGGUGUGUGUUCCAGGUAAAUCCGGUUCACUUUAACACUGAGGCGUGACGACGAGGCACUACGGUGCUGAAGCAACAAAUGCCCUGCUUCCAGGAAAAGCCUCUAAGCAUCAGGUAACACGAAAUCGUACCCCAAACCGACACAGGUGGUCAGGUAGAGAAUACCAAGGCGCUUGAGAGAACUCGGGUGAAGGAACUAGGCAAAAUGGUGCCGUAACUUCGGGAGAAGGCACGCUGACAC
This 630-nucleotide ribosomal RNA is filed under the name Salmonella enterica. RNAcentral's name for it is "partial 23S ribosomal RNA". It matches the Rfam family "Bacterial large subunit ribosomal RNA", at positions 1154 to 1757 of the family's 2925-position model. The record is from RNAcentral. RNAcentral also lists the same sequence under 1 other name. Lineage: Bacteria; Pseudomonadati; Pseudomonadota; Gammaproteobacteria; Enterobacterales; Enterobacteriaceae.